This 1008-nucleotide long non-coding RNA is filed under the name Anas platyrhynchos platyrhynchos (common mallard). RNAcentral's name for it is "lncRNA (ENSAPLG00000024158.1)". Lineage: Eukaryota; Metazoa; Chordata; Aves; Anseriformes; Anatidae. The record is from RNAcentral.
AUGGCACCUGGUUUGUUUGGUUUUCUACCUGCUCUCCAUUCUUUGGCUCUGCCUAUAAACACAUCACAUCCCUGUUCAGAUGCACCAUUUUCGAACCCCUUCCCCUCCUCCUGCAUUUUAGACCCUUUUGCUUCAUGGUCCCUUCCCAGACACAAUCAUGGCAAGCAGCUCUACUCAGAAGCAAAAGCAAAGAAUGCCACUGCCACGUUUGCUACAAUAAAAACCUCAGCUGGGGGAGGGCUUUUAAAACUGCAGCGUGCUCUUACUGCACAGCCGCGAGGAAGCGGUGCCAGCCCAUGGCUUGCUCCCAGGCACUGGGGUGCAGCCCAUCAAGGGCCACGGGGAACACGAGCAGGCGAUGCACGCAUGGAAAGGGCUGGAGCCCCAUCCAAGUCCUUCCUCCUCCCCAGUGCAUGGCCAAGGCAAGUCCCAGAAGGAGGGCAUUUCUGGGCCUCAGUGGCAGACCAGACCCUCCUGCCCCAACGCUGCUGCGUGCAGUGCUGGCAGAGUGCACUCUGGGCUGCAGAGCUCCGUGUCCAGCCAGCCACCACAACACACCACGGUUUAUCCAGCCCUCCACAGGCAGGGCUGCAAUUUAGGUGUCAGGCAUGUUAUUUAUUUUGCAUUUCCCUUUUUGUUCAGUACCUCAGCGGAUACAGUGUUUGCCAUUUCCUAGUAACAGAUGCAUUCCUCCCUGGGCUGUUUUAUAUUCCUGCAGCAAUUACAUUUCUCUCUUUGGAGAUUUCAUUUCUCCCUGAGUUCCCACCCCAAACAAAGUCCUUUAUCAAGCAUAACCUUUUCCAAAGAUACACCAUUUGCCAAGUGCAUCCUCCAUCUGAUCUGUUCCUAUACCUGCUCCUAUACCUUGAGAUACUCCCCAUUUGCCUCCCGAAGAGCCCGUCCCUUCAGAAAGUACCUCCUUCUGCAAGGAACAUUUUGUUUACAAGGUCUGUUUUGUUAGCAGGUGUAUUCCCACUAGUAAGUUUUCCACUGCACCAUUUUUUUUAA